AGAGUUUGAUCAUGGCUCAGGACGAACGCUGGCGGCGUGCUUAAUACAUGCAAGUCGAGCGAGGUUACUGUUUUGGAUCCCUUCGGGGUGAAGAAGCUUUAACCUAGCGGCGGACGGGUGAGUAACGCGUGGGUAACCUACCCCAAAGUCCGGGAUAACAGCGGGAAACCGCUGCUAAUACCGGAUGUCUUUACCUUGGGGCAUCUUGAGGUAAAGAAAGGUAACGCUUUGGGAUGGGCCCGCGUCCCAUUAGCUAGUUGGUGAGGUAACGGCUCACCAAGGCGACGAUGGGUAGCCGGCCUGAGAGGGUGGACGGCCACACUGGGACUGAGACACGGCCCAGACUCCUACGGGAGGCAGCAGUAGGGAAUAUUGCGCAAUGGACGGAAGUCUGACGCAGCGACGCCGCGUGAGCGAUGAAGGUCUUCGGAUCGUAAAGCUCUGUCCUUGGGGAAGAAGGCGAAAGCUUGACGGUACCCAAGAAGAAAGCCCCGGCUAACUACGUGCCAGCAGCCGCGGUAAUACGUAGGGGGCGAGCGUUGUCCGGAAUUACUGGGCGUAAAGGGUGCGUAGGCGGCCCUUUAAGUCGGAUGUGAAAGCCCGCGGCUUAACCGCGGAAUGGCAUUCGGAACUGGAGGGCUUGAGUGUCGGAGAGGGUAGUGGAAUUCCCAGUGUAGCGGUGAAAUGCGUAGAUAUUGGGAGGAACACCAGUGGCGAAGGCGACUACCUGGACGAUAACUGACGCUGAGGCACGAAAGCUAGGGGAGCAAACAGGAUUAGAUACCCUGGUAGUCCUAGCCGUAAACGAUGGGUACUAGGUGUGGGUGGUUUCGAUACCAUCCGUGCCGUAGUUAACGCAUUAAGUACCCCGCCUGGGGAGUACGUGCGCAAGCAUGAACUUAAUGAAUUGACGG
RNAcentral lists this ribosomal RNA (914 nucleotides) under uncultured bacterium. RNAcentral's name for it is "bacterial SSU rRNA". It matches the Rfam family "Bacterial small subunit ribosomal RNA", at positions 8 to 916 of the family's 1533-position model. The record is from RNAcentral.